This 208-nucleotide long non-coding RNA is filed under the name Lathyrus oleraceus (garden pea). Its description in RNAcentral is "Pisum sativum (pea) long non-coding RNA (PSAT_LNC006722)". Lineage: Eukaryota; Viridiplantae; Streptophyta; Magnoliopsida; Fabales; Fabaceae. The record is from RNAcentral.
AGUAAAGCGAGUGCAAGAAAUAAAUAAAGUAAAGCGAGUGCGAGAAAUAAAUAAAGUAAAGCGAGUGCGAGAAAUAAAUAAAGUAAAGCGAGUGCGAGAAAUAAAUAAAGUAAAGCGAGUGCGAGAAAAUAAAUAGAUAAAGGCAAAGUAAUAAAAACCUGCUCCAAUCGGAGGGUUGAAUAAAAUGCAAAGCGGAAAUGAAAAUGGC